AACGUAAUGUUACGGUGGCCAAAUUAACAACUCAUGCAGAAACCAUGAAAGGCGUUGGUUGCUUAAAACAGCAGGACGGUGAUCAUGGACGUCGAAAUCCGCUAAGGAGUGUGUAACAACUCACCUGCCGAAGCAACUAGCCCUUAAAAUGAAUGGCGCUUAAGUUGUAUACCUAUACAUUACCGUUAAAGUAGAUGAUUUAUAUUACUUGUGAUAUACAUUUUGAAACUUUAGUG
Molecule: non-coding RNA, 236 nt
Filed under: Drosophila persimilis
Lineage: Eukaryota; Metazoa; Arthropoda; Insecta; Diptera; Drosophilidae
Description: Eukaryotic large subunit ribosomal RNA
Rfam family: Eukaryotic large subunit ribosomal RNA
Source: Rfam by way of RNAcentral